Long non-coding RNA from Talpa occidentalis (Iberian mole), 498 nucleotides. RefSeq lists it as uncharacterized. Lineage: Eukaryota; Metazoa; Chordata; Mammalia; Eulipotyphla; Talpidae. The record is from RefSeq and is a predicted model, not a curated record. The transcript has 3 exons.
CAGCCCCAGCGCGUCAGCAGGCACUCCCAACCACAUCCAGUGCACCUUCUAAAAGGAAUUUGCGGGGGUAUCGUUUUGCUGUCGAGAUCACUUGACCACCCCCCUCCCAAUCGGGGUGCUUUGGUUCCAAUCACCACGACCCCUUGGAAAGGCCUUCAGAGACAAUUUACACGUUGCUUCUCAACAACAGCCAACGGCCACCCCGACGCCUGCUGGGAGCCUGGCGCAGACUGGCCUCUCAGGCCUGUUUCCCUUCUGUGAGGCAAGACUGAAGUGAACAGCUCGCUCAGGGCUGCUGUGAGUGCCACGAGAGCCGACAAAACAGCAGCAUCUGCAGUGCCGGGUCUUCCUGGCAGCCGCUCAACACCCAGCUGGGGUGGACAGAAGAGGAAAGCAAGGCUCCAGGUUUGGCUUUCAACCCCGUCUAGGCCCCAUGGACAGACUGGAGAGGAGACCGGGACAGGGGCGCUGGACACAGCAUGUUGGAGCAAGUCAGGC